UGGGGAAUAUUGCACAAUGGGGGGAACCCUGAUGCAGCGACGCCGCGUGAGUGAAGAAGUAUUUCGGUAUGUAAAGCUCUAUCAGCAGGAACGAAGAAGACGGUACCUGACUAAGAAGCCCCGGCUAACUACGUGCC
RNAcentral lists this ribosomal RNA (137 nucleotides) under uncultured bacterium. RNAcentral's name for it is "partial 16S ribosomal RNA". It matches the Rfam family "Bacterial small subunit ribosomal RNA", at positions 355 to 509 of the family's 1533-position model. The record is from RNAcentral.